Molecule: ribosomal RNA, 406 nt
Filed under: Polypedates megacephalus (Hong Kong whipping frog)
Lineage: Eukaryota; Metazoa; Chordata; Amphibia; Anura; Rhacophoridae
Description: partial 16S ribosomal RNA
Rfam family: Bacterial large subunit ribosomal RNA
Source: RNAcentral
CUUGACUUAUAAUAAGAGGUCCAGCCUGCCCAGUGAAUUUUUAACGGCCGCGGUAUCCUAACCGCGCGAAGGUAGCAUAAUCACUUGUUCUUUAAAUGGGGACUCGUAUCAACGGCAUCACGAGGGUUUUACUGUCUCCUCUUUUUGAUCAGUGAAAUUGAUCUUCCCGUGAAGAAGCGGGAAUAAUCCUAUAAGACGAGAAGACCCCAUGGAGCUUUAAACCAAAUAACAACUUAACCACUUACCCCACUAGAAAUUUAAGCCCUGUUAUAAGGUUUUUGGUUGGGGUGACCGCGGAGUAAAGAACAUCCUCCACGACGGAAAGAACACAAUCUUUAUUUAAGAACCACAAUUCUAGAAAUUAGUAUACUAACGUUUACUGACCCGAUAAUCGAUCAACGGACCA